GGACUACAAGGGUUUCUAAUCCUGUUUGCUCCCCACGCUUUCGUGUCUCAGCGUCAGUUGUCGUCCAGUAAGCCGCCUUCGCCACUGGUGUUCCUCCCAAUAUCUACGCAUUUAACCGCUACACUGGGAAUUCCGCUUACCUCUCCGACACUCAAGCUUUGCAGUUUCAGAUGCUGGCGGGGGUUGAGCCCCCGAAUUUCACAUCAGACUUACAUAGCCGCCUACACACCCUUUACACCCAGUAAUUCCGGGUAACGCUUGCCACCUACGUAUUACCGCGGCUGCUGGCAC
RNAcentral lists this ribosomal RNA (291 nucleotides) under uncultured bacterium. Its description in RNAcentral is "partial 16S ribosomal RNA". The record is from RNAcentral.